AUUGCUUCUCGGCCUUUUGGCUAAGAUCAAGUGUAGUAUCUGUUCACGUCAGCUUAAAAAGCUUUCCAGUUUCAAAGAAAUGACUCUAACUCUUAAAAACUCCCA
RNAcentral lists this small nuclear RNA (105 nucleotides) under Suricata suricatta (meerkat). Its description in RNAcentral is "U2 spliceosomal RNA (ENSSSUG00005016769.1)". It matches the Rfam family "U2 spliceosomal RNA". From Rfam's summary of the family: U2 is a small nuclear RNA (snRNA) component of the spliceosome (involved in pre-mRNA splicing). Complementary binding between U2 snRNA (in an area lying towards the 5' end but 3' to hairpin I) and the branchpoint sequence (BPS) of the intron results the bulging out of an unpaired adenosine, on the BPS, which initiates a nucleophilic attack at the intronic 5' splice site, thus starting the first of two transesterification reactions that mediate splicing. Lineage: Eukaryota; Metazoa; Chordata; Mammalia; Carnivora; Herpestidae. The record is from Rfam by way of RNAcentral.